Molecule: long non-coding RNA, 955 nt
Organism: Apis mellifera (honey bee)
Lineage: Eukaryota; Metazoa; Arthropoda; Insecta; Hymenoptera; Apidae
Exons: 3
Source: RefSeq, a predicted model, not a curated record
UAAAUUAUAGUUAUCGAAAAAUAGUAAUAGAAAUAAAUUUAAGAUUUCUCUCGUAAUAUACUACACAGAUAACGAUAUAAAUUACGUUUGGUUUCUUCAAUACGGUAAAACCGAAGGAUGGUUCGUAAAUCGUCCUAGAGAAUUCGAAAAAGAAGGAUAUCGAGAAGAUAGACAAGUCGAGAAAUCUAUAAUCGAAAAGGAAGUAAACGUGUUUAGUAAUAAUAUAAUAAUGUGAUGUGCUUAUGGCAUAAUGCCAAGCUACGAGAAUGUGGACAGAAAAAAGAAGACAAGCUGACGUUUCUGUUUCGCCAUGUACACACUGCGAAAGAAGUUAGGUUAGUUAAAAAAUGUUUCUUCAUAUCCAAGAUAAAAUAAAUCAACAAGCAAACGAGAAGUUGCGAUUAUCGUGUCAAAAAAAAGAAAUGAGCAAUCAAAGAUCAAUCAAACAGUUUGCACAAAGUGGAAUUCUACUAUUGGAAUUAUAUAUCGUCGACAAGCUUGCGGAAGUAAAGCUUCAAUGUUUCUAUGAUCGACUCGAUUGCAUAAAGUGAAGCAAGCUGAAUCGGAAAGCAAUGGAACGAGACAAAGAACGAACUCUUGCAAAGUAAAAUUAUUUUACACCGCUGCUUCUAAGGGAUUCAAUUAUCUAAUAUCUUUCUUCGAUCGUUUGUACCGAGCGCAAAAACUACCCGGAAGUCGAGGUGAAACGAGGUAUUCGUUACUCGCGUCUCUAUUUGCAAUUACACGCUCAUCAUGUACCAUGGAAUGACUUGCCGAUAUUGCAAAUAGUUAUUCAACGAAAGGGAAUGGAAUGGGAAUACUACUCUCCCCGGGAUAUAGGGAAAUAAUUGAAUUGAUGAAAAAGGAAAACAAACGAUUAAAAUCGUGACAAUUCCUCUUCUGUUUACCAUCCAAUAAUUCUUUCAGUAAUUAGAACAUGACAAUUUUUAACAUU